Molecule: ribosomal RNA, 450 nt
Filed under: uncultured bacterium
Lineage: Bacteria
Description: partial 16S ribosomal RNA
Rfam family: Bacterial small subunit ribosomal RNA
Source: RNAcentral
GUGGGGAAUUUUGGACAAUGGGGGCAACCCUGAUCCAGCAAUGCCGCGUGCAGGAAGAAGGCCUUCGGGUUGUAAACUGCUUUUGUACGGAACGAAACGGUCCUGGUUAAUACCUGGGGCUAAUGACGGUACCGUAAGAAUAAGCACCGGCUAACUACGUGCCAGCAGCCGCGGUAAUACGUAGGGUGCAAGCGUUAAUCGGAAUUACUGGGCGUAAAGCGUGCGCAGGCGGUUUUGUAAGACAGGCGUGAAAUCCCCGGGCUCAACCUGGGAAUGGCGCUUGUGACUGCAAGGCUGGAGUGCGGCAGAGGGGGAUGGAAUUCCGCGUGUAGCAGUGAAAUGCGUAGAUAUGCGGAGGAACACCGAUGGCGAAGGCAAUCCCCUGGGCCUGCACUGACGCUCAUGCACGAAAGCGUGGGGAGCAAACAGGAUUAGAAACCCGAGUAGUCC